This is an RNA transcript of Xyrauchen texanus (razorback sucker), 2205 nucleotides long. It is a transcript of the gene named TEN1 subunit of CST complex, with no coding region annotated. Lineage: Eukaryota; Metazoa; Chordata; Actinopteri; Cypriniformes; Catostomidae. The record is from RefSeq and is a predicted model, not a curated record. The transcript is spliced from 6 exons.
CAAUGUUAUCGUAGUAAACGCCACACAUAGUUCGUUCCAAAAUCAUUUUAAAAUGUACGACAUGUUGAUGAUUAGCGGACAGGCGGUCAGUUUAUUAUGUGGUGAGCUGUUUUCUCACAAAACAGUUUAUUCAGCGUACUGAAGAAUCUCCCCAUUAACGUCCAUAAAAAACGGCCUCUGGUGUCCUGGUUGCAAUGUUUUGCUAACCUAUAGAAGCUUUGGUUCUGGUUUGCGCUGAUAAAACAGUGGCAUAGGGCCACGCCUUCGUUGCCUGAAGCUGUUGUACGGCGAGGCAAAAGGAUCAUACUUUGUGAUUUAUUAUUAUUUUUUUAAAUAAAGAAAUGUGAGAGCGACGUACUGACUAUUUCCCUGCAGUGAUAUCUCUGAACAUGCUGCCUCCUCCAGCAGUGUUUCACCUCCCAUGGGAACUCAACACAGAUUUGGUAAAAGAUGGUGCAUCAGUGCGAACGCAUGGCAGAUACUGCUGCUUCCUCUGCCAUCUUCAGAACAGGAUACUGCCAUUCCCUUCUAGAUUCCUCUCAUGGUCCUAAUCAUGCCCCAAACAUCUCCCACAGACUUACAAGUUACCAGCCAGAGAAGUCCAUCGCCACUCUAAGUGCCAAGCAGUCCUCUGCACAGUUCCAUGUGUCUGUACAAACAUCAUUUGUUGAACCUUUCCAGCCUAUAAUUGGAGCUCAGUAUCUUGUUCUUGGGGAGAUUGAAAAGGCUGAAGGAGUGAUUGGAGUUACACUGCAUGCUCGUGCUUUAAGUUGCAUUGAUGGAGUAGACUUCACACUACUGCAACGGGCCAUUAUGGACCAGAGAUGCUUCUUUAAGGAGAGAGAGACUGAGCUGAAUGUGCAAGCUUCCCACUGUGAAAGCACUUAACCCUCUCAAAUAAGGUGAUGUGAAGCAGACGAAAGUGUGAAGAUAAAAUCUGAUAUCUCCAAGAGCAGAGAUCAUCCACCUGUGCAGCCACUCUUAACAACAUAUCCAAAGACACUGAUGGGGGACAGGAAGAGGAGCUUCAAAGCAGAAUGGUACAAGAUUCAUCCCUGGCUUUAGUACUCCAGAAUAUUAGACUCUGCAUAUUGUUAUGCCUGUCGAUAUUUUAGCCCUCCCAACAGCCCAUUGUCAGUUUUUGAGAGUGGUUUUAAAAACUGGAAGAAGGCAACCUACAAGGAAGGGGGAUUUGCAAUUCAUGCAAGACCAGAGCACCACAAGCAAGCCAUGGUUGCAUUUAAAGACUAUGAGACAGCAGUGAAAAACAACAGAACUUUGCUAAAUGCCUUGAACAAAGAACAUGACAAGCAGAUUAAAGAAAACCGGGAGUAUUUGAAAACAAUAGCUGAAGUACUUCUACUAACUGCCACACAGAACAUUGCUCAAAGAGGACACAAUGAUUCGGCAGGGUCAGACAACAGGGGUAACUUCAUAGCAAUCUUGGAAACAUUUGCCAAACAUGACAAAACUCUGAAAAAAAGGUUUCUUUCUAUCCAUAAUGCCAAAUACACCAGCAAAGCAAUUCAGAAUGAGGUUUUGAGUUGUUUGGCAGACAUGGUUAGAACACAAAUAAUAGGAGCUUCUCCACUCUAAAACUGGUCAAGACACAUCUGAGAUCUACUAUGGCAGAUGAGAGAGUUAGCAACUUGGGUGUAUUGAGUAUUGAAUCCAAGCAUGCAAAUAAAUUGAAUCUUGAAGAAUUUGUUGAUGUGUUUGCAAGGAACCACAGAAAUUGCAGAAUACAGCUUUUAUAAUAAAAGCUAAAAGCCUUUUAAUUUCCUGAUUUCUGUGUAUUUCCAUCCACACCUGUCAUAUCUGUUCAGGGUCAUUUCUUAAAACAAUUGUUACCUCCAACCUUCUUGUAGUCUUGUUUGUUUUUUAGACUGGCAUUAUUUGUCUGCUUUCCUCACAGGAAGGAAAGGAUAACACCUUACUUCUCCACUGCACUGGUCGUGUGCAUGAACUUACAACAGUGUAAAUGUUUUGUAAAGAUUAUUGCUCCUCCUAAUCCCUCUGGCCAGCAUCUCCCUAUAUUCCUUUUGAGAUAAGGCACGUACACUGUGUCAAUGGGGAUUUCUGCUGAUACAAACAAUUACCACAUCCGGUCCCUUAUCAGGCUAAUUAAGCCUCCGAAAGGGAUAAAGGCCGAAUGUGGAUGGUGGUGCGACAGAGAGAGCUCUUUUACAGGCAGCUGACCGCCAU